Molecule: ribosomal RNA, 107 nt
Filed under: uncultured eukaryote
Lineage: Eukaryota
Description: partial 18S ribosomal RNA
Rfam family: Eukaryotic small subunit ribosomal RNA
Source: RNAcentral
AGGCUGGGAGCGGCUGCGGGGCACUCGCGCGCUGCGCUGGGAAUUUAGUCAAACUUGGUCAUUUAGAGGUCGUAAAAGUCGUAACAAGGUUUCCGUAGGUGAACCUG